RNAcentral lists this ribosomal RNA (524 nucleotides) under uncultured bacterium. RNAcentral's name for it is "bacterial SSU rRNA". It matches the Rfam family "Bacterial small subunit ribosomal RNA", at positions 355 to 896 of the family's 1533-position model. The record is from RNAcentral.
UGGGGAAUAUUGGCCAAUGGACCGAGAGUCUGAUCCAGCAAUUCUGUGUGCACGAUGAAGUUUUUCGGAAUGUAAAGUGCUUUCAGUUGGGAAGAAAGAAAUGACGGUACCAACAGAAGAAGUGACGGCUAAAUACGUGCCAGCAGCCGCGGUAAUACGUAUGUCACGAGCGUUAUCCGGAUUUAUUGGGCGUAAAGCGCGUCUAGGUGGUUAUAUAAGUCUGAUGUGAAAAUGCAGGGCUCAACUCUGUAUUGCGUUGGAAACUGUAUAACUAGAGUACUGGAGAGGUAAGCGGAACUACAAGUGUAGAGGUGAAAUUCGUAGAUAUUUGUAGGAAUGCCGAUGGGGAAGCCAGCUUACUGGACAGAUACUGACGCUGAAGCGCGAAAGCGUGGGUAGCAAACAGGAUUAGAUACCCUGGUAGUCCACGCUGUAAACGAUGAUUACUAGGUGUUGGGGGUCGAACCUCAGCGCCCAAGCAAACGCGAUAAGUAAUCCGCCUGGGGAGUACGUACGCAAGUAUG